Molecule: ribosomal RNA, 301 nt
Filed under: uncultured bacterium
Lineage: Bacteria
Description: partial 16S ribosomal RNA
Rfam family: Bacterial small subunit ribosomal RNA
Source: RNAcentral
CAGCCGCCGCGGUAAUACGAAGGGGGCUAGCGUUGCUCGGGAUGACUGGGCGUAAAGGGCGCGUAGGCGGCGGCCAAAGUCAGGCGUGAAAUUCCUGGGCUCAACCUGGACAGGCGGUGGAAACUACCAGGCUAGAGUACGAUAGGGGUAGAGGGAAUUUCCGGUGGAGCGGUGAAAUGCGUUGAGAUUGGAAAGAACACCAACAGCAAAAGCACUCUGUUGGGCCGACACUGACACUGAGAGACGAAAGCUAAGGGAGCAAAUGGGAUUAGAUACCCCAGUAGUCCCUGUCUCUUAUACA